Molecule: long non-coding RNA, 935 nt
Filed under: Gallus gallus (chicken)
Lineage: Eukaryota; Metazoa; Chordata; Aves; Galliformes; Phasianidae
Description: lncRNA (ENSGALG00010000698.1)
Source: RNAcentral
CCCCCGUGAAGCAACCCAUAACCCCCCCCUUAAGUGACCCACGAGUUGGGGGGGGGGAUGAAGGGGGACCCAUAACCCCCCCAUAACCCCCCCCCAUUACACGACCCACAAGUUGGGAUGGGGGGACGAAGGGGGACCCAUAACCCCCCCAUAACCCCAUAACCCCCCCCGUGAAGCGACCCACAAGUUGGGAUGGGGGGAUGAUGGGGGGGUGGGGGAUGAUGGGGGGUGGGGGGUGGGGGGGGGUGGGGGAUUGGGGGGGGGAUUGGUUGGGUUGAGGCAAUGGGGGAAGGCCAUAGGGAUCCCUGCUUGUCCCCAUAGCUGCCCCAUGGGGUCUUGGGUUGGGUUGAGGCAAUGGAGAAGGCCCAUCAGCAAUGGGGGAAGGCCAUAGGGAUCCCUGCUUGUCCCCAUAGCUGCCCUAUAGCUGCCCCAUGGGUGCCCCAUGGCCAACGUUGGGUCAACCCAAUGGGGGAAGGCCAUCAGUCCCAUUGUUUAUCUGUUAAGGAGAGCCCAUAGCGGCCCCUGGUUGUCUUUGAGGUGUCCCCAUAGCACCCAUAGCUGCCCCAUGGCCCUCGUUGGGUCUUGGGUUGGGUUGAGGCAAUGGGGGAAGACCAUCAGUCCUAUUGUUUGUGUGUUGAUGGAACCCCAUAGUGAUCCCUGGUUGUCCCCAUAGCUGCCCCAUAGCUGCCCUAUAGCAUCUCUCUGUGCCCCAUAGCUGCCCCAUGGCCAACGUUGGGUCAACCCAAUGGGGGAAGGCCAUCAGUCCUAUUGUUUGUGUGUUGAUGAAACCCCAUAGCGACCCCUGGUUGUCCCCAUAGCACCCAUGGGUGCCCCCUAGUGCCCCUGUGUGCCCCAUAGCACCCCUGUGUGCCCCACAGAAGCCCCCCUCCCCCAUCCCCCACCCCCCCCCCCCAAUAAAGUGCUUUAAUCCGUUU